UACGAAGGGGGCUAGCGUUGCUCGGAAUCACUGGGCGUAAAGGGUGCGUAGGCGGGUCUUUAAGUCAGGGGUGAAAUCCUGGAGCUCAACUCCAGAACUGCCUUUGAUACUGGCGAUCUCGAGUCCGGGAGAGGUGAGUGGAACUGCGAGUGUAGAGGUGAAAUUCGUAGAUAUUCGCAAGAACACCAGUGGCGAAGGCGGCUCACUGGCCCGGUACUGACGCUGAGGUGCGAAAGCGUGGGGAGCAAACGGG
RNAcentral lists this ribosomal RNA (253 nucleotides) under uncultured bacterium. RNAcentral describes it as "partial 16S ribosomal RNA". It matches the Rfam family "Bacterial small subunit ribosomal RNA", at positions 524 to 776 of the family's 1533-position model. The record is from RNAcentral.